UCCUGGUUAGCUCAGUUGGUAGAGCGCUCCACUGGAAAUGGAGAAGUCACUGCUUCCAUACCAGAACCAAGCG
Ixodes scapularis (black-legged tick) is the source of this 73-nucleotide non-coding RNA. The record is from Rfam. Lineage: Eukaryota; Metazoa; Arthropoda; Arachnida; Ixodida; Ixodidae.